UCAUGUCCUCUGCAUGCGC
Molecule: small nuclear RNA, 19 nt
Filed under: Arabidopsis thaliana (thale cress)
Lineage: Eukaryota; Viridiplantae; Streptophyta; Magnoliopsida; Brassicales; Brassicaceae
Description: snRNA_12277
Source: RNAcentral